AAGAGCCGAGGCUGUUUGUUGUUGUUUUGAAAAUUACCCACUGGUGAUUUAUAGGGAGUACGCGUUUCCGUGUCAAAUGGAAUGCCCGGAUUUAUCUGGGAUCACAGAAGCACGGAAUAGUCCACCCACCUGGUUGAGGUGUGGUGUAAUUUUUCCUAGAGACAACGGCAGCCUGGGCUUUUU
Molecule: non-coding RNA, 183 nt
Filed under: Bacillota bacterium
Lineage: Bacteria; Bacillati; Bacillota
Description: 6S RNA
Rfam family: 6S / SsrS RNA
About the family: E. coli 6S RNA was the first non coding RNA to be sequenced, but its function was unknown until recently. It consists of 184 nucleotides that fold into an extended hairpin structure with a large single-stranded internal bulge.
Source: RNAcentral